Molecule: long non-coding RNA, 7471 nt
Organism: Cyprinus carpio carpio
Lineage: Eukaryota; Metazoa; Chordata; Actinopteri; Cypriniformes; Cyprinidae
Source: Ensembl
CUCCCACCGUACACAUUUUGUUUGAUUGGUUGUUGUUUAUUUGUAGUUUAUAAUUCUUUCAUUUUUAUAUGUGCAUACAUGUGCGGUCAAACUGUAAACACAAAACAGUUUACAAUUAAUAUUUAGCAAUGUUUCACAUUUCACAUUUGCAUUUAACAUUAUCACAUGUAAUACAAUAUGUAUUUCUGGAACAGUCUCUCGUGUCACAGACUUGCAUUAAAUUUUGUUUACUAUAUGCAACAUAUUGCAUGAAUAUUUCAACAAGUAACAUAAUAAACAAAAUAUGUCUACAUAAACAGCAAACAUAAGUGUAUAAUAUUGACCGUUUAGGCGCUAAUCGCAAAUAGCGAUCUAAAUAGAGAUAACUUUAGAAACCUCAGAUUACUUAAACAACGAUAACAUUACUCACCACGCUGGGAAUAUAUAGUUUAAAUUAUUGUUUCAAUCUGGAAUUAUUAUAGAAGUUCAGCAAUCUUGAAAAUGAGAACAACAUGGCUUUCUCUGUCAGCCCUCUUUCCACUGUGCACUUUCCGUCAGCUAUCACAUGAGCCACUGUGACAACGUUCUUAAAGGGGCAGCACCUAACAUCCCGGCCCCCAAUGACCCAAACAGGUCAUUCAAAGAAAGUAAAGGUGAUGCCUCAACUAAACUAGCUCAACUGAUAAAACUGGCUUCCAGGAGGCAGAUUUUAUCCACAGGACGACUGAAGACUCCUGCCUGUGUUUUCACUUCCACAGUACGCACAAGUCCAUCUGUACCUGGAUAAACUCGAGUAAUCAGACCUAGUGGCCAGUGAUUGCGUGGUGCAUUUUCAUGCAGAAUGAUCACAAGAUCUCCUACUUGAAGAUUCCGCUUUGGUUGUAGCCAUUUUUGGCGUUGCUGCAGUGCGGGCAAAUAUUCUUUAAUCCAUCUCGACAAGAAGAUAUUUGCCAGAUACUGGACCUGGCACCAUCUGCGUCGGUAAACAUCUUGUUUUACGAAGGCUCCUGGGGGUAGAGUUGGACCUGAACGGAGUAACAUCAGAUGAUUUGGGGUGAGUGGUAGAGGAUCUGAUGGGUCAUCUGAGAGUUUAGUGAUUGGUCUACCAUUCACAAUAGACUCAAUGCAACAAAACAGUGUUGUCAGACCCUCGUCAUCUGGUGCCUGCUGCAAUAGGACAGUGUUUAGAAUGGAACGAACGGUGCGAAUUUGUCGCUCCCAAACACCACCCAUGUGGGAGGCGGCGGGUGGAUUGAAGAUCCAUUUUACAUUGUUCUGCAGCAGGUAAUCAGAAAUCUUUUGUUGAUUCCAUUCACUGAUGGCUUUCCGUAACUCUCGUAAUCCACCAACGAAAUUAGUUCCGUUAUCUGACCGUAUUUCAGAAGGUGGGCCUCUCCUAGCGAUGAAUCGUUGUAAUGCAUUGAUAAAGGAAUCAGUAUCGAGGGUGUGUGCGACUUCGAGAUGAAUAGCUCUCGUAGUGAGACAUGUAAACAAACAUCCAUACCUCUUUUGUUCACUGCGUGCCUUCUUAAUCAAGAAUGGUCCGAAGUAGUCUAUGCCCACUCGAGUGAAUGGAGGCUCACACGGAGUAACUCUAGAGUCAGGUAAGUCUGCCAUUUGCUGGGCUUGCGGCUUAGCUCUUAACUUGCGACACUGUAGGCAUGACUUGAGAGUUUGGGUAAUGACAGCACGUCCCUUUAGAAUCCAGAAACUUUGACGAAUUUCUGUAUGAACUCGUUCUGGACCCGGAUGUCCCAAACGAAGAUGGUAGUGACGAAUAAUCAGCUGGGUGACGUGAUGAUUGUUAGGUAGGAUCACUGGAUGUUUAGCCUCGUAAGGAAUUGGGGCAUUCAUUAGUCUGCCUCCGACACGAAGGAGUUGAUAAUUUUCAUCCCUAAAGGGUUUAAGUUUGAGAAGAGAACUGGGUUUGGCUUCAGUAGAUCUGAAAGUUGCAGCUUGUAUGUAAUUGAGAGUGGCUAACUCUGCUUGCUGGAGCUCACCAACAGUAAUGGGUUCAGAAAGAUGUGCACUUACUUUCUUGCGUAAGAAAGCCUUGAGACGCAACAAGAUAGCUGUCAAGUUCCGAUCUACUUCUUGUACAAUUCCCCACUUGAAAAGGACAGUCCCUCCACAUGAAGAUCUUAACUGGAUUUCACUCAAUAAACAGCCAUGGGAACAGUUCUUUGUCUUUUAUUUACCAUUCCUUGGUAGCAGUAAACAGGUGAAAAACCUCAAGAGAGAUGACAAAUACAAGUUACUAUUUGAGUUGACAGCCAAAUUAAACAAAAUUCUUCACAUUCACCUCAGAUAAACACAGUACUGUCAUUAUAAAAUACAAGGUUUCCACUUUUAAGCAGUAUUUUCAUAGUAAAUAAUUAUUUUAAGGUCUCAUUGUAACCACAACUAGAUAUGCUUAACCAAAACAAAUCAAUUGGCAUUUUAAUUUUCAAAAUGUAUAUUUUUCUUAUCUUUUUAACCAAGUAUCUUUAGCCAAAUAUUUUUAGACUACACAUUUUUUUAACUGAAUUAAGAACUUGGUUUAUUAAGAUUUCUACAAAGUUUAAAUUACUUUUAACCAUUUCAAACACAUUCUUUGUCAAACAAUGAAUUUGGUUUUUCUUACUUUUCCUUUAUACCCCACAAAUAACAUUUGAAAUUACAAAUACCACUGCAAAGGUCCUAUCAAACUCAACAAGAGUUAAGAGUUUGUGUCUUCUAGAAUACCAUUAGCACUGCACUGCUUAAGUCAGUCUAGCCAAACAUGGCCAAUAUGGCGCUUACCGGCUGUCCUUCACAGUUUUGUGGAGGGCUUGGUCUUACACAGUCACCUUGAUGACAAAGAUGAAGUUUCCUUGGUCUUGUGGUGCUAUAAAUGCUCCUUUGACUGCAGUCUAAAGACAACAACAGAGCCAGGUACUGGCACGCUCAGAUUGCCUGGACGAUAAGUUCCACCUGGUUCACCACUGAUUGAAGGAGGAGUUUCACCACUGAGGAGCUCCCAGGCAGUUUGUCAGCACAAUAGCAGUAGCUCUUUUCAAACGAUGCCAACUGGAGUAUCGUUCCAGUAGUCUGUCCACUGCAUUUUUCAUUGCUUGGUUUGGUGUUAUGUUAGCUGCAUAGACUUCUUUGCCUCGUUUGAUCUCUGCUUCAUCUGGCAAGUCAUUUAUAAUAGGUUGAGCAGGCCAAUGUUCCUCAUCAUGUCUAAGAAAGUGUGGACCAGAUACCCAUCGUUCACUUGCCAAAAUCUCUCUCAUAGUCAUCCCUCGAGAGACGUCAUCCGCAGGGUUAGAGGCAGAAUCAAUAUGUCUCCACUGGCAUGAUUCUGAGCGUUCAUGUAUUUUUGAUAUACGGUUGGCGACAAAUGUCUGGAAACGACAAUGCUUGUUUUUAAUGUACUGAAGUGCAAUAGUACUGUCUGUCCAAAAGAAAGUCCUUUCAAUUGGAAUCUCUACAUGUUGUUUGAUAUGCUGAUUCAGCUCCGUAGCAACAACUGCUGCUAGUAGCUCCAGUCGUGGUAUGCUAACUGGCUUGAUUGGAGCAAGUCUGGCCUUUGACAUCACGAGCCUGCAGGUGCCGCCAAUCUGGAUGUAUGAAACAGCACCAUAAGCCAGUUCCGAAGCAUCGGAAAAGUGAUGGAGCUGGGUAGAUAAAAAACAACUUGUGGAUGUUGGUCUAAGGCAUCUUGGAAUUGUCAGUGCUGACAACAGAGGCAAGUCGUUCAACCAUCUGUGCCAUUGUGCUGCUAUGUCCACCGGUAACUCCUCAUCCCACUCAACUUUUAAGCGGCACAACUCUUGAAAGAUUGCUUUAGCUUUGAGCACGAAAGGGCUUGCAAAUCCUAAAGGAUCAUAGAUGGAACUGGUAGUGCUCAAUACUCCUCUCUUUGUUACAGGUUUAUCUACUGACUUGACAUCAAAUGUGAAGCAAUCUCGUUCUACAUCCCAAAGGACGCCCAGUGUUCGUUCAAAUGGCAAAUCCUCUUGGUCAAGGUUUACCUCAUGUAAUGAUUUUGCCCAGUCAUCAGCUGGUAUUGAUUUCAUCACUUCCUUGGAAUUGCUUAACCACUUGGUUAAUCCAAAGCGUCCGCAGGUGAGCAGUUCCCGGAGUUCGGAAGCAAGUUUCAUGGCAGCAUCCUCUGUUGGUACUGACUUAAGGCAAUCGUCGACAUAGAAAUUUCGCUUAACCGUUUCCACUGUGUCGUCAGAGAAGUUUCCACGAUUGUCCUCUGCCACUCGUUGCAAGGCAAAAUUGGCAGCACUAGGACUCCAGACACCUCCAAACAGAUGAGCCGUCAUACGAUAAUGCUUAGGUGGUUUGUUCGGGUCGUUAUCUUCCCACCACAGGAAGCGAAGCACAUCUCUUUCGUCAGAAGGCACUCGGACCUGAUAGAACAUGCUCUCGAUGUCCGCAUUUAGAGCAAUGGGUUCUUGUCUGAACUUGAGAAGGACUCCUAGCAGCUUAUUGUAAGGUCUGGGCCUUGAUGAAUGUGGUCAUUUAAUGAAGUACCUUGGUACCGUGCUGCACAAUCAAAAACGAUACAAACUUUCUCUGGCUUACGUGGAUGUAGCACUGGAUGAUGCGGCAGGUACCACACACAACCAUCUGUUCUGUUAAUGUCGACGACCUCGAUAUUUUUUGCGCAAAGAGUCUCUAAUACCCUCUGUAUACUUCUGAAGCAAAGUUGGGUCCUUCUUUAGCCUCUUUCCUAGAAGGUCUAAUCGAUGCUUGGCCAUCGAGUAGUUAUUGGGCAGUCGUGGUGGAUGUUCUUUAAAUGGGAUAGGAAGUGUGUAAUGACCUUCCUCUUUGACUGAUUGUUUGUUCCAUAGGGCCACAACUUGCUCAUCAACUACUGACAGCGAAUCCUGGUUCACAUGCACUGGAUCAUCCAAUUUCCAAAAUCUUUCAACAGCUUGUUGUAGAGAAUGAUCAGCUCGAAUAAAAUUGGCAGAAACAGAUGUAGAGCCAUCAGCUACUGGUCCAUGGAGUCUCCAUCCCAGGCCAGUAAGAAUUGCAUAUGGUUCACCAGACUCACCACAGCAUGUGUUACAAGGAGCAAGUAUGUCUGGUUGGUCAAGACCUAUUAGCAGGUGAACCUCAUCAGCUAUAUCAGCAUCGGGUAGACUGAUUUCAUCUGCAAUUUCUCGCAGAUGCGGCCACUGAAACAGCUCCUGCUGUGUGACUAGGCUGUCUAGACUUAUGUUCAGGUUAUCCCGACAGAGCACUCCUUUCAUCAGGAAAGAGUUCUUUUGUUGAGCAUUGUUCGAGCAUCUUCGUAGAUCCACUGCUAAGGUGACUACAUUUAGGUUUUUGGUCUCCAUGGUGUUCAGUAUAAUGUUCAUUUUGUGUGAUUCCAGUUUAAGAGCACGAACUAGCUUCUUAGAAGCAUAGGUCCCAUUUGAGCCACUGUCAAGCAAAGCAAAGACAUUCAUAGAGAAUCGUUUGUGUCUGUCUGAAACCACUACAGGCAGAAUGGGAAGUGCAAUCUUCUUUUGACUGACUUCACUGCAUUUUUUGGUAGCAUGUGCUUGAAUGGCUUGUGGCAGGUCGACAGCUGGCUCAUCCUCAGUAGCUUGAUUAGUAGAUUGGCUUUUGUCGUUGUCAGAAGCUACGAUGGCAGAGUGUAGCCAACUGUUGUGUUUUUUCCCACAUCCAGGCACCUUGCAUUCCCAGCUGCGAGAACAGAUUGUGCUACGAUGGCCCUUCAUAAAGCAGUUCAGGCAGAGCUGCUUUCGCUGAACAAAGGCCAAACGCUCUUGAACAGACAAAGCUCUGAAGGCUUGACACUGGUUCAGGAAGUGUCCGUCAGUGCACUUUGGACAUUUACAUCUUGACGUUAUCUUUGGUGUACGAUAUGGUGGAUUCAUUAGUAACCGACACUGUUGCAAAUGUCUGCCUUUUCUUAUUGAAGCUUGACUUAGCAUUUGAUUUAGAACUCACAGGAGAAUUUCGACUGGCAGGUGUAAGAAGAUUCCCAAAAAUAGGAUCAGCUCUCUUAGUGGCUUCAGAUUCCACAAGACAGACUACAUCAUCCAACUUUGGUAAAUGUCCAGAUUUUACAAUCUCAUAAUUUAUUGUGAGCCAUCUUUUCUUUAUGUCUUCAGGCAGCUUUUCUACAAUCUGUAGCAAAGUGCGUCCUCCAUUGAGCUCAUCCUCACACUUCAUUGCCUUUAGAGUGUUUUGGCAGCUACACAAAAUGUCUGCAAAGCUUUGCAACUGCUUGUUGUCUUUAAUGUCUUUGUGAUUGAGCACCUUGUCGACCCAUGCUUGUGAUACUGCAUAUGGAUUGCCAAAACGUCUUUUCAGAAUAGCCAUGGCUUCUACAUAGCCCAGGCUAGAGUCAGGGUUGUACAAGCAGUGCGAGAUAGCAUCUCUAGCUUGACCGACAGUGUACUGAUGCAGACGAGUGAGUUUUUCUUGAUCUGGCACUGUCUCUUUGUCAAUCACUGAGGAAAAAAAUCUGAUGAACUGCCAGUACUUUAAGGGUUCUCCAUCGAACUUGAUGAUGUCGACAGGUGGUAAGUGCAUGGAAUCAAUGUGUGACUGAUACUGUUGCCUUGACAUCUCUAGUAGUUGACAUAAAAAAUUCUCGUUUACUGCUGAGAAUGAUGGCCGAAAGUUGAAGGAUGGGUUACCUGAGACAGGAGUUUAUUGUUUAUUGUUAUUAUUAUAUGUUUAUUGUUGCUAACUCAGCCUUUCGUCGAUUUUCCUCCAUCUCAGCAUCUUUGAGUUUCAGUAAGCCUUUUAGUCCAGCCAUUUCAAAUUCAGCUUGCUGAAGUUGAAGUUUAAACUCUGCAGGCAGACGUUCUUCUUGUUCAGCUAAAAGCACAGAGAACUCUUUAUUUUCUUUCUGUUUUAGAUUCUGUAGCUCUUGAAACUGUGUAGAUAGUUGGUCUACAGGAGACAUUUGCGGUUUAGCAGCUUCAUCAAGCGUUUGCUGUUCCUCUUGGAAGUUUGAUGCAUCAGAAGACUCCAUUGAUGGCUUAAAGUCUUCAAACCAGCUUAAGACUGUGUGCUGUAAGUCUUGCACAUCCCGCAGGACUGAUGUUAAAUAGCCUUUAGAAGCAUCAAGGUCAUCAUCAUCUUCUAAUGUUUUAUGGUACAUGUCAUGGAUCUCGUGAAACCGCAUAACAGCCUGAUCCAAAGCAGCAAGUUUCAUCUCUACCUCUUUGGGCUGAUUACAGUUGAUAGCGGUUGUAAUCUGUGUCAUCAAGCGUGUCACAGCAGCCUUUGCACCUCCACGUUGACGCUUGAGACCCUUUUGUUGUUGAUCUGGGGUAGAACUUUCUUCUGUUUCUUAGUCCAUGUUGUUAUUAAUUUCCUUUCUUCCUCGUGUUUGACUUUAAUGUUACCCGUAAAAUGAUAACAUUAACUUGGAACUUGAUUUUGUUCUUUAUUCUACUAGUGCAGAACUCCCACCGUACACAUUUUGUUUGAUUGGUUGUUGUUUAUUUGUAGUUUAGAAUUCUUUCAUUUUUAUAUGCGCAUACAUGUG